ACCCAGAAUCCUACUCACACACACACAGAUUAGUUUAAGCAAAUGAAAAACAAGAGAUAAAGGGAGAGACACACCAAGAAAUAUUUCAGAGUUCACCCCAAAUUAGGGCUACGUUUCUGUCAAGCUCAUCUCAGAGAUCUAACUUGAUAUCCACUAUCAACAAUGGUGAUUUACAAUGCUUUGGAGCUUCCUGUCACAAGAUCGACUAGCACGAGAGUUUUACUCUCUGUUUGGACCUGCACUCUCUGGAUCUUGGAAAUGGAGCUUUAAACUAGGGUUUACACUUCUACUCUUUCUCUUUUUAUGUUCUGUAUUUUGUUUGCCUUUGAUUUACUGCUUUUAUACUGUGUUGAAGUCGGUUGAUCAGAUCUGGGUGAUCUUGUAGAGGCAAAGCCACCUAAGAUUGAGUCUUUGUUUUUCUGUUAAUUGUUGUUGUUGUUGUAUGCAGAUAUGGAUAAGUGUAUAAAGACUGGUUAUAAGUAGAAUUUAUUCAACAAGUA
Molecule: long non-coding RNA, 500 nt
Organism: Cannabis sativa
Lineage: Eukaryota; Viridiplantae; Streptophyta; Magnoliopsida; Rosales; Cannabaceae
Exons: 2
Source: RefSeq, a predicted model, not a curated record